This is a long non-coding RNA of Trachemys scripta elegans, 4479 nucleotides long. RefSeq lists it as uncharacterized. NCBI's taxonomy places the organism in Eukaryota, Metazoa, Chordata, Testudines, Emydidae. The transcript has 6 exons. The record is from RefSeq and is a predicted model, not a curated record.
CAGCACUGGCUGUAGCUGGGAGCAUGAGGCAGGCAAGCAGAGAGGAGGCUGCUGGACUGUAAUCCUGUUUGUGUUUCUUUACAGUUUCGAGAUGGUAAAUAAGAUUUAAGGAAUGAAUAAAGAAUAUGUUGACAAAACACAUCAAGGAAGGAUCCAACCUUUGCCCUAUCAACAUCUUCAUUUCCAUGAUGGAAAGCAUACUUUUUGCGAACAGGGGCUGCUAACAGGGAGUUUCACAAGGGAGUUCUCCAGGUAAAGGAGGAGCAAAUACAGGACCCUUGGGUAACUGAAAUUGGGAUUUUUUUUCUGCUGCUCCCACUGGAGUCCCUGAGAACAGAAUCAAAUCCAAAUCCACGAUCUACCAUUUCUAUUGUGUGCAAAGGGUACAUCUAUACUACCCGCUGGAUCGGCGGGUAGUGUUCGAUGGAUCGGGGAUUGACUUAUCACAUCUCGUCUAGACACAAUAAAUUGAUCCCCGAAUCGACGCCUGUACUCUACCUUGUCAGGAGCAGUAAGCGGAGUCAACAGGGGAGCCGCGGUGGUCGAUUCGCCGCCGUAAGGACAGCCAGGCAACAAGCCAUUUGGAGGUGGUCAUUCUCCUUUGACCAAUCUUCUGCUUCAUGUGCUUAUGAAGCGUCUGGCUGUACUGGUUAUGAACCGCUGUUAAGUGGGGACAAACACAAAUCUAUCUGUGAUUAAUUCCACAUCAAAAGCAGUGACAGCCUUUCUUGGUCAAGUCCUGUGACGGGCCUGGAUUAUUUCAUGCAGCUUGAUUCUCUGAGCAACUUUGAACUGUCCUACCUCAGUUGGACCCAGAUCACGACCCAUUUGAAAAUGAUCUUUAACAAACAGCUGGCCAACCCUUUUACUUCUCUGGCCAGACUCAUCCUCCCCCCCGCUAUUGCUCAUUUCUCCUUAGCCUGCAUGUUCUCUAACAUCUUUCCGCCUUUGGACUCUGAUCCUCCUGUUGGGAAGGCAGAACAGUGCACAGAUUCUUCCGACUGCUGGCUAGGCUCUGAGGCAGCCAGAAUGUUUCCUAGGGGAUGAAGGACUUCAGAGCAGCCCAAAUAUCUGCAAGAAGCACAAGGAGCCUCUUUGUGCCUAGCUGUGAAGCAGUCUUAAAGGAAGAUUUCAAAGGCCUUGUGUGAGUGCAAAUGAGCCCUCCCCAUGCCACCAGAUAAGAAUACCAAUACCAGGGGUCUCCCACAUUGCAUGUGAGUACCUUAACUACUGAGCUAAAAGGAAUGAAGGAGGUCCUAGUUUCUCAUUCCCUCCCCCAACCCUGUGUGGCCAUUUUUUGUGGAGUUAUGAGCCUGUCUGCAGGGCUUAAUAUGGUAGAUGUGCUCAGAGGCUGUCUAUCUCUCCCCCCCCCCGAGUUUAUGAAUUGCACUAGGGCUUAGGCACUUGGCGUGAGGCAGAAGCCCACCUGUUCAGAGGCAGAAACAUGGGCACUUUUACUGCAAAAAGUUUAAGCUCCAAGUGAGUCUAGACACUUAUAGGGUUAGGCAGCAGCUGAGUGGGGGGUUUGUGUAUGAAUACCAAUGGUGAAGAUGCACACUUGGUGUCUGUGAGUGACAACUAUUCUGCCAGCUUGCUUCCUGAUAGGUGGAAUGGAUAUUGUGUGUCUUAGGUGUAGGAUAGGAGAAGAGAGAUUAAAAAAUAUAUAAAUAAUUUUCCUUCAUUUAUCUAGGUAUGUGUCACAGUGGGUAUGUACUGGUAUCUCUUCACUUUUUUACCUUUAUGUUGUUGGCCUUUCAGUGGAGGGACCAUGUCUUGCUCCUCUUUUGUAUAGUGCCUAGCACAGGUAGGCACCAAUCCUAACUGGGUGUUACCACAAGAUAAAUUGUGAUUAAAAAUAGUAAUUUUGUAACAAAAUUUAUUUUUGCUCUGUAGAUACAAAUCCAAAACAUCAACAAACAAAAUUCCAGUGGAAAAAUACUAGCCAUUAACAAUGAAAACUUAUUUAAUAAAUAGAACUUUGGCAUUCAAAAUUCUAGCUGUAAACCCUACUAUAAAAAAAUUACAAAAAGAGGCAAUAACCACAGAGCUAAAGGUGAGCCACCCAGUGGCGCCUUUUACUUUUUACACUGAAUGCAUUUUGAUUAAGUCAUGACAACUCUAUUUACACAUGAGGUAUUCUGAGCGGUUCGAAAACAGAACCCAAUUUACAUAACUACCAGCCUUUGGGGACUAAGCCAGUACAUAUGUCAGCUGUGCUUUUAAAAGUUAGACUCAGCCCCUACUCUCCACUGAUUACCAAUGAGAUAUUGUAGUUAAUAUAUACAAAAUUAUCAUUUUGAUUGAAUUUCCUGCACACUCUUCCUGUCAGAAAAACUGGACUGCUAAAAUCACCUAACUUACAAGAUGUAUACCUAGUACCUAUAGCAUUUAGUACAUAUUUCUAGAUAUUAUGUAAGAGGCUCCUUAAUGUCAAGGCCUAAAAACAAAAGAUCUGAAGUUAGAGCAAACAAGGUGCAAUAAUUAUUGACAUUCUUCUAGCUCAACUAAAAUUCAUUGGGACUAUAUACAUUUACUGAAGGCAAAAAAGGCACAAAGGUAUGCAGCAGUGGAAUUAAUACUGCUGAUCAGCUGUCAUACAAAAUCUGUUUAUAUAAUCUUCAAUAGCCAGUGGUUUGUUUUCAUAUUUUAAAAAUGUUGAUUGUUUGAAGCAAUCAAUUGAAAUAUUUCCCCAUGCAUCAGAAAAACCUGUUGUAUCAAUUCCAUUAAAAGAACAAAAUUCUAAUUCCAGUUACGCCCAUGCAGCCCACUUAUGUCAUUGAGGGUAACAUAAGUGAGGGCAAAAUUCAGGUGUCCCUGAAGAGGGAUUUCCAUCCUUCCUUGUACCCUCUUAUCUUUAAAAGAGCAAGCAGGAUAAUUUUUUCUUCUAACUAAAAGUGAUAAGAAAUCUUCAGAAGUGAGCAGAGCAAAAUAACUUUGGCUCUUACAGCUACAUCUAUUGGCAGUUUUAAAAUGUUGUUGCCUGAGUUGGUGGUUAUAGCAACCGCAAUAAAUUACAGAAGUACAUCACUAUAAACCUACACAUCUGAGGCUAAGAAUCUAAGUUAAGUUUGCACAAUUGAGCUGAACUACUUAUAUACAGUAAAUACAUAGCAUCUUUUAUAGCUUGCCCAAAGACAACUACUUUCCAAGCCAUUUUUAAAAUACAUUCUUGAAUACAGUAGUUAUUUACUGUAAGUAUCACCUAAAGGAUUGUAGAAAUUCAACUGAAACUAUACAAAAAUUGCUGUACUCGUUUCUCUGUAAGUCCACUAAUAGACAGAAUGGGACAGUAUCCACUCAUUAGACAUUUUUUUUUAGCCCUUGAGAUUGUCUCUAAGUUAUGGCAAAAAGUUGUCAUGACUAAAUCAGUUUCAGUAAUGCCACUGUUAACGUUUGUUAAUCAACCAUAUCAUAUUAAAUAUGUCGAAUGAGACCACACACACUCUACUUUUUAACCAGUUAAACAAUCAUGCAUAUCUUACUUAGACAAAGCUUAUUCUGUUUGGAGACAUCUGUAAACUGAUGCAUAUAUAACAAUAGCUCCUACAACAGCAGGCCCAAUUUUAAGAAAUCAAAGAAAAGGAAAAAUACUUAAUCUUUGUGGUCACUUAAUUCUAACCUUAUCAGUAAUUUGUAUCUUUGGCUCAUCACAUCUGCCAUUUCUCUCCCUGCUUUAAUUUGACUGAGGCAGAUAAACUCAGUAUUACUUUAAAAAUCAAGUGCUCUGUAUUUUAAUGUAAAUACAAUUGGUGCUCUAAUAUAACAGAGAAAAAAUGCAGAAUUACAGCAUCAUCAUUCACAAUAGUGCAACUAAAAAAAUAAAUCAAGACUUUCAUACUGGGAGAACCUUCUAUAAUACUUUUGAACCAUAGAACUUCUUUCCAAGGAUCUCUAAGUGCUUUAUAAACAUUAAUUUAUUAAUCACAACUCCCCAGUGCAGUAUCCCCAUUUUUGAGAUGGGGGAAACUGAGGCGCAGAGGUUAAGUGACCUGCUGAGCAUCACACAGGGAGGUCCUGGCACAGAUAAAAACAGAAUCUGCUGUUCCCUUCUUUAAUACUACACUACUACCCCUCCAAUAUGUGCCUACGCGAUUUAAAACAGCAGUACAUUUCCCUUUUAUAGGCUGAUUUUUUGUGUGUCUUUUCUGCUUAUUAAAGUAUGCUGUUGCUUAGACAUGGAUUGCCUCCCUUUUACCCCACCAAAUACUCUUAGUUGAUUGUCUGAAGUCAGUCAUGUUGAAUUCCUGACACUAGACAAAUUUGCUAUAAACACAGGAUGAUGACUUCACUUCAGGGCCAAGCAGAAAGAAAGUGAAAGUAAGUAGUUAUUAAAACUACUAAUCAAAACAGCAACCACUAAGUUAUAGGCAAAGAUUCCUUAUUUUCAGUUUUGCCCUAAUGUGAAAGUCCCUCUUUAAAGUUGUGUCAAUAAUUCUUCUACAAACUCCAAUUUUUAGGCAAUUAAAAAAAAAAAAAAAA